UACGUAGGGUGCAAGCGUUGUCCGGAAUUAUUGGGCGUAAAGAGCUCGUAGGCGGUUUGUCGCGUCUGCUGUGAAAACUCGGGGCUUAACUCCGGGCCUGCAGUGGGUACGGGCAGACUAGAGUGCGGUAGGGGAGACUGGAAUUCCUGGUGUAGCGGUGAAAUGCGCAGAUAUCAGGAGGAACACCGGUGGCGAAGGCGGGUCUCUGGGCCGUAACUGACACUGAGGAGCGAAAGCGUGGGGAGCGAACAGG
This 253-nucleotide ribosomal RNA is filed under the name uncultured bacterium. RNAcentral's name for it is "partial 16S ribosomal RNA". It matches the Rfam family "Bacterial small subunit ribosomal RNA", at positions 524 to 776 of the family's 1533-position model. The record is from RNAcentral.